This is a long non-coding RNA of Salvia splendens (bonfire salvia), 605 nucleotides long. RefSeq lists it as uncharacterized. The transcript is spliced from 2 exons. NCBI's taxonomy places the organism in Eukaryota, Viridiplantae, Streptophyta, Magnoliopsida, Lamiales, Lamiaceae. The record is from RefSeq and is a predicted model, not a curated record.
UUAAGGUUGUAAAUGGCUUCAGCAUCAGAGGAGUGGCUGUUGGAGAACAGCAACAUUAAGGAGAUGCGGAAUGGCCGCACCGCGCACAAUGUGUAAUCUUCGUCACUGCGGAUGAAAUCGGAUCGGGCGCUGCUUGCGGGUAUUCGGGUCGGGGUUUUAGGAGGUUUUUGGGUAAUUUGCAAGAGGUUUUGCUCGGGACCAAGCUUUUCAUUUUCCUCGUCGCUAUCCCUUUCGCCAUUGCCGCUAAUUACAGCCAUUUUGGAAGUGCAGAUUGCUCUCUACACAGGACCAACAGGUAAUCAUUUACUUAUUAUAUACUCCCUAUCAUUUUCAGAAAUCGAAUUGUAAAUGUGUGUGAUCGGUAUUAAUUAGCUGCAUCGGAGCUAUUCCGGUUAGCAAUGGCGGCCAUUUUGAUUGGAUCAGAUCUGCAUCUCAUCCGAUCUGUUAUUUUGUUUUUUAAAUUGUUUUUUAAUUUUUUUUAUUGCACAGUCAAUAAUUGUUGACCAUGUCAGCUGCCACGAGACGCCACGUCAAUUAAAAACGACACAUCAGCUCGCUCUUUCGUCGGAAAAAUCAUCAUGGGAAAUCAGCGACUAAUUGCAAAG